Molecule: long non-coding RNA, 878 nt
Organism: Aphis gossypii (cotton aphid)
Lineage: Eukaryota; Metazoa; Arthropoda; Insecta; Hemiptera; Aphididae
Exons: 4
Source: RefSeq, a predicted model, not a curated record
GUUCCGGCAUGUUCAUGCAGCCCCUCAUCAGGGUGAACGGUUCGGGACACGACCCUAGCAAGGGGUAGGGGUUGAUUGGAAGCCGACGUCUUGGGCGCGGACAACUUAUCGGAAAAUCGUGGUGACAUCAACCUGAACAACGAAGACAAUCGCUCCCCACGUCGGAUUGUCUUCAUUGUUGCACAGCCCGUCUGCCCUACGGUACUUACCGGGUUUGCACACCACUCUCGUUAAACACGACGGGCAUACGUUCCUGAUGAGCGUCUUGGAAGUGUCGAUAGCAGGCAAGAACUUGUUCACGUCAUCGGCGUUCAAGUCAUACCUACGAUUGAUUGAAAAAAGUUUUAAUCAAAGAAAAUUCGCUUCUAUGUUAAAUUAAAGAUAAUUAUUGAAACUUACGGUGAACCUUUUCCACUGUUAUAAAUGAAAUGCUUCGAUCCUUCUAGGACGACGGCGCAAUCGUUACCGUCCACGCCUUCAAUCGGUGCGUAUUGUGCGGCGUGUCCGAAAUACCAGACGAACGAACAUAACACGAACGUUCUGCAAACAAUAGUUGUAUAAGAUAAUAAUUAAUUAUAGAAAAAUAUGUGAACAUUGAGAUGGAACAAUACGGGUAAAAUACUGACCCAAAUUAAAAGAAAUGUUUAAAAGAAGGUCCAGGGCCAGAUAACGAUUGUAGAGAAAACCAAGUAAAAUCAAUUUUAAUAAACUUAUUGUCAUUUAUACUUCGUUUUUAUAACCAACUAUUUAAAAAAACUCGCUUUACUAUACUAUUACACAUAAAUACAUAUACAUUAUACAUAUAUUAUAUAUAUAUAUCUAAAAUUUUAAAAUCUAACAUGUAUAUUUAUUCUUUAUAGAACAAUCAUAAAGUAGUU